RNAcentral lists this ribosomal RNA (301 nucleotides) under uncultured bacterium. RNAcentral describes it as "partial 16S ribosomal RNA". It matches the Rfam family "Bacterial small subunit ribosomal RNA", at positions 509 to 808 of the family's 1533-position model. The record is from RNAcentral.
CACCGCCACGGUAAUACAGAGGGUGCGAGCGUUAAUCGGAUUUACUGGGCGUAAAGCGUGCGUAGGCGGCUUUUUAAGUCGGAUGUGAAAUCCCUGAGCUUAACUUAGGAAUUGCAUUCGAUACUGGGAAGCUAGAGUAUGGGAGAGGAUGGUAGAAUUCCAGGUGUAGCGGUGAAAUGCGUAGAGAUCUGGAGGAAUACCGAUGGCGAAGGCAGCCAUCUGGCCUAAUACUGACGCUGAGGUACGAAAGCAUGGGGAGCAAACAGGAUUAGAUACCCGUGUAGUCCCUGUCUCUUAUACA